UAGGGAAUUUUCCGCAAUGGGCGAAAGCCUGACGGAGCAACGCCGCGUGCAGGAGGAAGGCCUUCGGGUUGUAAACUGCUUUUAACGGGGACGAUUUUGACGGUACCCGUAGAAUAAGGAUUGGCUAAUUCCGUGCCAGCAGCCGCGGUCAUACGGAAGAUCCGAGCGUUAUCCGGAAUUACUGGGCGUAAAGAGUUGCGUAGGUGGCAGGUAAAGCGAACAGUGAAAGGUCCCGGCUCAACCGGGGAUACAUUGUUCGAACUCACCAGCUAGAGCAUGAGAGAGGUAGAUGGAAUUUCUAGUGUAGGAGUGAAAUCCGUAGAUAUUAGAAGGAACACCGAUGGCGUAGGCAGUCUACUGGCUCAUUGCUGACACUAAGGCACGAAAGCGUGGGGAGCGAACGGGAUUAGAUACCCCCGUAGUCC
RNAcentral lists this ribosomal RNA (425 nucleotides) under uncultured bacterium. Its description in RNAcentral is "bacterial SSU rRNA". It matches the Rfam family "Bacterial small subunit ribosomal RNA", at positions 355 to 796 of the family's 1533-position model. The record is from RNAcentral.